Panthera uncia (snow leopard) is the source of this 4959-nucleotide long non-coding RNA. RefSeq lists it as uncharacterized. The record is from RefSeq and is a predicted model, not a curated record. NCBI's taxonomy places the organism in Eukaryota, Metazoa, Chordata, Mammalia, Carnivora, Felidae. The transcript has 4 exons.
GCGGUCACGUGGGCGCCGCGCACUCGGCCCUGCCCCCUUCGUCCUCCCAGUGGAAGAGAGGGCGGGACCCUGGUUCAGGUAUCUGUUGGCCAUCUGGACGUCUUCUUUGGAGAAGUGUCUAUUCAUGUCUUCUGCCCAUUUCUUCACUGGAUUAUUUGUUUUUGGGGUGAGUUUGCAUAUUGGGCUCAGAAACUUCAAGAAGACAUCUACUGAAAAACACACUCUCACCUAGAAGACAAUCUGGAAAUAUUUGUCUAGAUACAUUGACACCUACGGGAACCAGUGCGGAAUGCUCAGCACCUACCUUGCUAACAACUUGCCUUGCCCCUGCAUUCUGCUGUACUGCCUCCCUCCACAGGAGUUCCUCCAAAGUGGAUCCACAAGGGUCUCAUUGCACAAACAGCCUCAACAGGGGCCAGUACCACUCCAAAGUGACUCUUGCCCUGGGGAAAGGAGAAGAUAACCACACACAGCAGUUCAAGGGCAGCCCCAGCAGGGUGCUGUGGGCAGACAUCCAAUCUGACUGCCCCACCAACCAACAGAAACCUCAUAGGGGCAGCACAAAGAGAGUCUAGCAGUUCAAGGUCACUGCAGCCCCAGCAGAAGGCUGGAGUAGACAUCUCUCACUGCUGACCCUGCCCACCAACGAAAGCCUCUUGGGGACAACAUAGGGAGAGCCCUGUAGUUCAGCAUAACCACGGUUCCAGCAAAUGGGCUAAGGCAAGGAUCCAGCUGACUCAACUCAAGCCCAGACUGGCUCCUUAACAGCACAGGGACCAAACCCUGAUGACCAUGGGCAAAGAGGGCCAUUGCAGCCAACUGGACUGAAGGCACAUGUGGCUCAACCGCAGCAGUGGGGCACAGGCAACACACGUAGGAGACCCCUCUGAAGCACCAGGUUCUAGUGAAGAGAAAACCAAAAACCCAGGGAGAAGAAUCUUGAAAUUAAAAAUACACUAGAGUAAAUAAAUAGUAGACCGGAGGAAGCAGAAGAACAGAGAAGCAAGCUAGAAGACAGUAAUGGAGAGCAACCAACCUGAACAGGAAAAAGAAAGAAAAAAUGAGAAUAGGCCAAGAGAACUCAGCAACACCAUCAAGUGUAACAACAUUCACAUUUAGGGAUCCCAGAAGGAGAAGAGAGAAAAAAGGGGGCAAUAACUUUCAAUAAGUAUCUGAAAACUUCCCUAACCUGGGGAAGGAAUUGGAAAUCUAGAUUCAGGAGGCACAGAGAGCCACCAAAUACCAACCCAAGGAGAUCCUCCCCAAGACAAUUAAAAUGGCAAAAAAGUAGUGAUAAUUUUAAAAGCAGCAAGAGAAAAAACAAUUACGUACAAGGGAAAUAUCGGGGUACCUGCGUGGCUCAGUUGGUGGAGCAUCCAACUCUUCAUCUCAGGGUUGUUAGUUCAAGCCCCUCAUUGAGCAUGGAGCCUACUUACACACACACAGGAAACUCCAUAAAGCUGUCAGAUUUUUCAGCAGAAACUUUGCAGGUCAGAAGGGAGUGGCAGGAUAUAUUCAAAGUGCUGAAAGAAAAAACCUGCAGCCAAGAAUACUCUAGCUAGCAAAACUAUCAUUCAGAAUAGAAGGAGAGAUAAAGAGUUUCUCAAGUAAAAGCUAAAAGGAGUUCUUGACUGCUAAAUCAGCCCUACAGGAAACACUAAAGGGAAUUCUUUGAGUGGAAAGGCAGGCCAUAAUCCUUUUCUUAGGAAAGGAAAAGAUUUCUCAGGUACAUGCAAACAUAAUAGAAGUAGAUCAGUCCCUUAUAAAACCAGUACAGGGGUUAAAGCACAAAAACAGUAAAAUCAAUUAGAUCUAUUUAAAAAGUCAAUAAAGGGAUUCACAAAGAAUGUAAAGUAUGACAUACAUAAAGCAUGCAGGGGAUAAGGGGAGUAAAAACGUAGUGCUUUUAGAAUGGGUUCAAACUUAAACAACCAUCAACCUAACAUGCAUAGGAUGUUAUAUACAAACCUAAUGGUAACCACAGUUCAAAAACCUAUAAUAGAUGUGCUUGGAUUCUUUUGUUUUUUUGCAGAUCAAAGGCAUCAAAGAAAGGCAUCAAACCACCGCCAGAUAGCAAGAGGAGGAAAGAACAGAGAAGAACUGCAAAACAACCAUAAAACAACAAAAUGGCAAUAAGUACAUACCUAUCAAUGAUUACUUUGACUGUAAAUGGGCUAAUUAAUCAAAAGACAUAGGGUGACUGAAUGGAUAAAAAAGGCCCAUCUAUAUGCUGUCUAUGAGACUCCUUUCAGAUCUAAACACACAGAUUAAAAGAGAUGGAAAAGAAUUUAUGAUGCAGAUGGAAGUGAAAAGAAAACUGGGGUAGCAAUACUUAGACAAAAUAGACUUUAAAACAAAGACUGUAACAAGAGACAAAGAAGGACACUAUAUAAUAAGAGGAACAAUCCAACAAGAAAAUGUAACAAUUGUAAAUAUUUAUGCACCCAACAUGAGAGUACCCAAAUACAUAAGGCAACUAUUAACAAAAUAGUAAUACAAUAAUAUUAGAGGACUCUAACACCCUACUUACAUCAAUGGACAGAUCAUCCAGACAGGAAAAUCAACAAGGAAUCAGUAGCUCUUAAUGAUUGGACCAGGUGGAUCUAACAGAUAUAUUCAGAACAUUCCUAAAACAGUGGAAUACACAUUCUUUUCAAGUGCACAUGGGACAUUCUCCAGAAUAGAUCACAUGUUAGGCCAUAAGUCUCCCCAAAUUUAAGAAGACUAAAGUCAUACAGUGCGUCUUUUCCAGCUACAGUGAUAUCAAACCAGAAAUCAUCACAAGAGAAAACCUGGAAAGAACACAAAUAUAUGGAGGUUAAAUAACAUGUUACUAAGAAAUCAAAAAUGCAUGGAGACAAGUGAAAAUGAAAACACAACAGUCCAAAAUCUUUGGGAUGCAGCAGAAAGAGGGAAGAUUAUAGCAAUUCAGGCCUACCCUCAAGAAGCAAGAAAAAUCUCAAGCAACCUAACCUCAGACCUAAAAGGAGCUAGAAGAACAAAGUCUAAGGCCAGUGGAAAGAAGGAAAUAAAGAUUAGAGCAGAAAUGAAGUAGACUUAAACAAUAGAACAGAUCAACAAAACCAGGAACUUUUUCUUUGAAAAGAUCAACAAAAUUGAUAAACCUUUAGACAGUUUCAUUAAAAAAAAAAACCAAAAAGGACUCAUAUUCAGAAAUGAAAGAACAAUCAACACCACAGAAAUACAAAGGAUUUUAGUUAUUAUGAAAAAGUGUAUGCCAAAUUGGACAACCUAGAAGAAAUGGAUAAAUUCCUAGAAACAUAGCCUCUCAAAACUAAAUCAGGCAUAGGAAAUUUACUAGUUACUGACAAUGAUCGAAUCAGUAAACAAAAAGCUCCCAAAAGUUUGGCACCAUAUAUCUUCUCAGGUGAAUUCUACCAAACAUUUAAAGAAGAGUUAAUACCUAUUCUUCUUAAACUAUUCCAAAAAAUAGAAGAGGAAGGAUAACUUCUAAAUUCAUUCUAUAAGGCCAGCAUUAUUCUGAUACCAAAACCAGAUAAAGACACCACAAGAAAAGAACUAUAGGCCAAUAUCUCUGAUGAACAUAGAUACAAAAACUCUCAACCAACUAUUAGCAAACCAAAUCCCACAGCAAAAAACUAAACCACGAUCAAGUGGGAUUUAAAAAAUUCACCACGAUCAAGUGGGAUUUAUUCCAGAGAUGGAAUGUGGUCCAUUAUUCACAAUUCAAUGUGAUAUAUCACAUCAACAAGAGAAAAGAUAAAAGCCAUGUGAUUGUUUCAAUAUAUGUAGAAGAAGCAUUUGACAAAGUACAACAUCCAUUAAAAAAUUCAAAGGUUUAGAGGGAAUAUACCUCAACAUAAUAAAGGCCAGCUGUGGAAAACCCAAAGCUAGCAUCCUACUCACUGGUGUGAGUUUUCCCUCUAAGAAAGAAGGAUGUCCAUUCACCACUUUUAUUCAACAUAGUACUGGAAGUCCUAGCCACAGGAAUCAGACAAGAAAAUAAAAGGAAUCAAAAUCAGUAUAGAAGUAAAACUUUCACUAGUUGCAGAAGACAUUAUACUAUAUAUAGAAAAUUCUAAAGAAUUCAACAACAACCUGCUAGAACUGAUAAUUCGGUCAGGUCACAGGAUACAAAAAUCAAUAUACAGAAAUCUGUUGCAUUUCUGUACACUAAGAAGCAGAAGAAAAAUUAAGAAAAUGGUCCUAUUUACUGUUGCACCAAAAGUAGAAUACAUAGUAAACUUAACCAAAGAGGUGAAAGACCUGUACUCUGAAAACUAUAAAAUAUUUAUGAAACAAAUUGAAGACAAUACAAACAAAAGGAAAUACGUUCAGUGCUCAUGAAUGAGAAUCUUGUUUAAAUGUCCAUGAUACCCAUAGCAAUGUACAGAUUUAAUACAAUCCCUAUCAAAAUACCAAAAGCAUUUUCCAUAGAACUAGAACAAAUAAUCCUAAAAUUUGUACAGAACCACAAAAGACCCUGAAUAGCCAAAGCAAUCUUGAAAAAGAGAAACAAAACUGGAGGUAUCACAAUUCCAAAUUUCAAGAUACACUACAAAGCUACAGUACUCGAAACAGUAUGGUACUUACACAAAAAUAGAUACAUAGAUCAAUGGAACAGAAUAGCCCCUAAAUCCACAAUUAUAUGGUCAAUUAAUCUACAACAAAGACAAGAAUGUAUAAUGGGAAAAGUCUCUUCAACAAAUGAUAUUGGGAAAACUGGACAGCUACAUAUGGAAGAAUGGAACUGGACCUCUUUAUUAUAACCAUACACAAAAACCCAAGAUGAAUUAAGGAUCGAAAUGUGAGACCUGAAACCAUAAAUAUCCUAGAAGAGAGCAUAGGCAGUAAUUUCUCUGCUGUAGUCUAUAACAACAUUUUUCUAGAUAGGUCUCCUGAGGCAAGGGAAACCAAAGCAAAAAUAAAUUAUUGGGAUUACAUUAAAAAAAAAAAAGAACAAAAAAAAAAAAAAAA